AAUCUAUUUCAGCUCUUCAUGGUGAAAUUGCAGACUGAAAGACGGCAUCUCGCUGUCGCUAUAAGAUGGGCCCGCGGCGCAUUAGCUAGUUGGUGAGGUAACGGCUCACCAAGGCGACGAUGCGUAGCCCGACCUGAGAGGGUGAUGACGGCCACACUGGGACUGAGACACGGCCCAGACUCCUACGGGAGGCAGCAGUAGGCUGAAUCUUCCACAAUGGGCGAAAGCCUGAUGGAGCAACGCCGCGUGAGUGAAGAAGGUUUUCGGAUCGUAAAACUCUGUUGUAAGGGAAGAACAAGUACAGUAGUAACUGGCUGUACCUUGACGGUACCUUAUUAGAAAGCCACGGCUAACUACGUGCCAGCAGCCGCUGGUAAUACGUAUUGGUGGCAAGCGUUGUCCGGAAUUAUUGGGCGUAAAGCGCGCGCAGAGCGGUCCUUUAAGUCUGAUGUGAAAGCCCACGGCUCAACCGUGGAGGGUCAUUGGAAACUGGGGGACUUGAGUGCAGAAGAGGAAUAGUGGAAUUCCAAGUGUAGCGGUGAAAUGCGUAGAGAUUUGGAGGAACACCAGUGGCGAAGGCGACUUUCUGGUCUGUAACUGACGCU
RNAcentral lists this ribosomal RNA (605 nucleotides) under Lysinibacillus sphaericus. Its description in RNAcentral is "bacterial SSU rRNA". It matches the Rfam family "Bacterial small subunit ribosomal RNA", at positions 167 to 747 of the family's 1533-position model. Lineage: Bacteria; Bacillati; Bacillota; Bacilli; Caryophanales; Bacillaceae. The record is from RNAcentral.